AUGUACCACUCCUGCACACCGGUUCCUUCCGCGCCGUCCGCACCCACCUCACGGCUGCUCGCUACGUUUUGAUAGCC
Molecule: small RNA, 77 nt
Filed under: Xanthomonas campestris
Lineage: Bacteria; Pseudomonadati; Pseudomonadota; Gammaproteobacteria; Lysobacterales; Lysobacteraceae
Also listed under: 3 other names
Description: sRNA sX9
Rfam family: Xanthomonas sRNA sX9
Source: RNAcentral